UACAGAGGGUGCAAGCGUUGUUCGGAAUUAUUGGGCGUAAAGGGCGCGUAGGCGGUUCGGCAAGUCUCUAGUGAAAUCUCUGGGCUCAACCCAGAGUCUGCUUCCGAAACUGCUGUGCUUGAGUGUGGAGAGGCGCGUGGAAUUGCAGGUGUAGCGGUGAAAUGCGUAGAUAUCUGCAGGAACACCCGUGGCGAAAGCGGCGCGCUGGACCACUACUGACGCUGAGGAACGAAGCUAGGGAGCAAACAGG
RNAcentral lists this ribosomal RNA (250 nucleotides) under uncultured bacterium. RNAcentral describes it as "partial 16S ribosomal RNA". It matches the Rfam family "Bacterial small subunit ribosomal RNA", at positions 524 to 776 of the family's 1533-position model. The record is from RNAcentral.